UACGUAGGUGGCGAGCGUUGUCCGGAUUUAUUGGGCGUAAAGAGCUCGUAGGCUGCUUGUCGCGUCGGAUGUGAAAGCCCGGGGCUUAACUCCGGGUCUGCAUUCGAUACGGGCAGGCUAGAGUUCGGUAGGGGAGAUCGGAAUUCCUGGUGUAGCGGUGAAAUGCGCAGAUAUCAGGAGGAACACCGGUGGCGAAGGCGGAUCUCUGGGCAGAUACUGACGCUGAGGAGCGAAAGCGUGGGGAGCGAACAGG
RNAcentral lists this ribosomal RNA (253 nucleotides) under uncultured bacterium. Its description in RNAcentral is "partial 16S ribosomal RNA". It matches the Rfam family "Bacterial small subunit ribosomal RNA", at positions 524 to 776 of the family's 1533-position model. The record is from RNAcentral.